CGCCUGUUUACCAAAAACAUCGCCUCUUGACAAACUAUAAGAGGUCCAGCCUGCCCAGUGACGUAGUUAAACGGCCGCGGUAUCCUGACCGUGCGAAGGUAGCAUAAUCAUUUGUUCUUUAAAUAGGGACUAGUAUCAACGGCAUCACGAGGGUUAUACUGUCUCCUCUCUCCAAUCAGUGAAACUGAUCUCCCCGUGAAGAAGCGGGGAUAAAUCUAUAAGACGAGAAGACCCCAUGGAGCUUUAAACUCAACAACAAUUUCCCUUAAGAUAUUCUACAUAAUUAUGGAAGUACUGUUUGUUAGUUUUGGGUUGGGGUGACCGCGGAGAAAAAUUAAACCUCCACGACGAAUGGAAUUAACUCCUAAUCUAAGAGCCACCGCUCUAAGAAUCAAUAAAUUGACAUAAUCUGAUCCGAUAAUCGAUCAACGGACCAAGUUACCCUGGGGAUAACAGCGCAAUCCAUUUCAAGAGCUCCUAUCGACAAAUGGGUUUACGACCUCGAUGUUGGAUCAGGGUAUCCCAGUGGUGCAGCCGCUACUAAAGGUUGUGUUUGUUCAACAAUUAAAACCCUACGUGAUCUGAGUUCAGACCGG
This 596-nucleotide ribosomal RNA is filed under the name Nanorana liebigii (spiny-armed frog). RNAcentral describes it as "partial large subunit ribosomal RNA". It matches the Rfam family "Bacterial large subunit ribosomal RNA", at positions 1797 to 2619 of the family's 2925-position model. The record is from RNAcentral. Lineage: Eukaryota; Metazoa; Chordata; Amphibia; Anura; Dicroglossidae.